GGGAAUGGGAAUGGGAAUGGUCGGGAUAGCU
RNAcentral lists this transfer RNA (31 nucleotides) under Libanotis pyrenaica. RNAcentral describes it as "partial tRNA-Phe". Lineage: Eukaryota; Viridiplantae; Streptophyta; Magnoliopsida; Apiales; Apiaceae. The record is from RNAcentral.